UAAUUCAACAAGAUGUGCGUGCAUUCUCAGAAUAGCCUUUACCGUGUGAAAAGCAAGUGUUUCAACUGUGAGGAAGAGGCCUCUAUUGCAUAUUAAACAGGAUUAUCUGUUUGGAUCACUUUCCAAUUAUGCAAUGAGCCAUCUGGCAAUCUGAAUUGAUGGAGAAACUGAGUAGAAUUAUUGUAACCGAAGAAGGCGGGACUGAAGGACGCUCAGCGGUAAAGACCUGCUCAGGUCUCACACCAGUGGGGGACAGAGACAGAGGCUUUGUUUGA
Molecule: long non-coding RNA, 275 nt
Filed under: Pogona vitticeps (central bearded dragon)
Lineage: Eukaryota; Metazoa; Chordata; Lepidosauria; Squamata; Agamidae
Description: lncRNA (ENSPVIG00000002343.1)
Source: RNAcentral